RNAcentral lists this unclassified non-coding RNA (219 nucleotides) under Hevea brasiliensis (rubber tree). Lineage: Eukaryota; Viridiplantae; Streptophyta; Magnoliopsida; Malpighiales; Euphorbiaceae. The record is from RNAcentral.
AGGGUGUAGAACUUAGAUGCUGAGCUGGUGAUAAACCAUCACAUUGAAUGAGUGGUAGUUUGUUUUCUAAGGGAGUCAGUGGAAGUUUGUUUUCCAGGGAAGUUAGUGGAACUUUGUUUUCCAGGGGAGUUGCUGGAAGAGGGCUUAAUGGGAGAUGAUUCAAUGGUCGCAAGCAAGCAAGGUAACCACGUGAUUGAUUGUUGCAAAUGGGGAGUUUGA